ACAACAGUUAGAAAUGACUGCUAAUACCGCAUAUGCCUUAGAAUCACAUGGUUCAAAAGGGAAAGGAGCAAUCCGCUGAUAGAUGGGCUUGCGUCUGAUUAGCUAGUUGGUGGGGUAACGGCCUACCAAGGCGACGAUCAGUAGCCGAACUGAGAGGUUGAACGGCCACAUUGGGACUGAGAUACGGCCCAGACUCCUACGGGAGGCAGCAGUCGGGAAUAUUGCGCAAUGGAGGAAACUCUGACGCAGUGACGCCGCGUGCAGGAAGAGGGUUUUCGGAUUGUAAACUGCUUUAGACAGGGAAGAACAAAGACAGUACCUGUAGAAUAAGCUCCGGCUAACUACGUGCCAGCAGCCGCGGUAAUACGUAGGGAGCGAGCGUUAUCCGGAUUUAUUGGGUGUAAAGGGUGCGUAGACGGGAAGUCAAGUUAGUUGUGAAAUCCCUCGGCUUGACUGAGGAACUGCAACUAAAACUGAUUUUCUUGAGUACUGGAGAGGAAAGUGGAAUUCCUAGUGUAGCGGUGAAAUGCGUAGAUAUUAGGAGGAACACCGGUGGCGAAGGCGACUUUCUGGACAGAAACUGACGUUGAGGCACGAAAGUGUGGGGAGCAAACAGGAUUAGAUACCCUGGUAGUCCACACCGU
RNAcentral lists this ribosomal RNA (644 nucleotides) under uncultured bacterium. RNAcentral's name for it is "bacterial SSU rRNA". It matches the Rfam family "Bacterial small subunit ribosomal RNA", at positions 143 to 803 of the family's 1533-position model. The record is from RNAcentral.